UGUGUAGGCGGUUCUCUAAGUUCGGUGUGAAAUCUCCCGGCUCAACUGGGAGGGUGCGCCGGAAACUGGAGGGCUUGAGUAUGGGAGAGGAAAGCGGAAUUCCUGGUGUAGCGGUGAAAUGCGUAGAUAUCAGGAGGAACACCUGCGGUGUAGACAGCUUUCUGGACCAUCACUGACGCUGAGACACGAAAGCGUGGGUAGCAAACA
This 207-nucleotide ribosomal RNA is filed under the name uncultured bacterium. Its description in RNAcentral is "partial 16S ribosomal RNA". It matches the Rfam family "Bacterial small subunit ribosomal RNA", at positions 568 to 774 of the family's 1533-position model. The record is from RNAcentral.